This 85-nucleotide transfer RNA is filed under the name Enterobacteriaceae endosymbiont of Donacia piscatrix. RNAcentral describes it as "tRNA-Ser". It matches the Rfam family "tRNA". Rfam says of the family: Transfer RNA (tRNA) molecules are approximately 80 nucleotides in length. The record is from RNAcentral. Lineage: Bacteria; Pseudomonadati; Pseudomonadota; Gammaproteobacteria; Enterobacterales; Enterobacteriaceae.
GGUGAGAUGGCCGAGUGGUUUAAGGCGCAUGCUUGGAAAGUAUGUAUAUGAAAAAAUAUCAGGGGUUCGAAUCCCCUUCUCACCG